AACGAACGCUGGCGGCAUGCCUAACACAUGCAAGUCGAACGAGACCUUCGGGUCUAGUGGCGCACGGGUGCGUAACGCAUGGGAACCUGCCCUUAGGUUCGGAAUAACUUCCCGAAAGGGGUGCUAAUAACAGAUAAUUUCUUCGGACCAAAGAUUUAUCGACUUUGGAUGGGCCCGAGUUGGAUUAGCUAGUUGGUAGGGUAAAAGCCUACCAAGGCGACGAUCCAUAGCUGGUCAAAGAGAAUGAUCAGCCACACUGGGACUGAGACACGGCCCAGACGCCUACGGGAGGCAGCAGUGGGGAAUAUUGGACAAUGGGCGAAAGCCUGAUCCAGCAAUGCCGCGUGAGUGAUGAAGGCCUUAGGGUUGUAAAGCUCUGUUAACCGGGAUGAUAAUGACAGUACCUUGAGAAUAAGCGCCGGCUAACUCCGUG
This 433-nucleotide ribosomal RNA is filed under the name uncultured bacterium. Its description in RNAcentral is "partial 16S ribosomal RNA". It matches the Rfam family "Bacterial small subunit ribosomal RNA", at positions 29 to 507 of the family's 1533-position model. The record is from RNAcentral.